AUUAGAGUUUGAUCAUGGCUCAGGAUGAACGCUGGCGGCGUGCCUAAAACAUGCAAGUCGUGCGGCAGCAUGCCCUUCGGGGUGAUGGCGAGCGGCGGACGGCUGAGUAACGCGUGGGAAUCUGCCCCGAAUGAGGGAUAACUGCCCGAAAGGGUGGCUAAUACCGCAUGUGGGUCUUCGGAUUAAAGCUAUUAGCGCUUUGGGAGGAGCCCGCGUUCGAUUAGUAGUUGGUGAGGUAAAGGCUCACCAAGCCGACGAUCGAUAGCUGGUCUGAGAGGAUGUCAGCCAGAUGGAACUGAGACACGGUCCAGACUCCUACGGGAGGCAGCAGUUAGGAAUAUUCCACAAUGGGCGAAAGCCUGAUGGAGCAACGCCGCAUGGAGGAACGAAGGCCUUCGGGUUGUAAACUUCUUUUCUAUGCGAAGGAUAUG
Molecule: ribosomal RNA, 431 nt
Filed under: uncultured bacterium
Lineage: Bacteria
Description: bacterial SSU rRNA
Rfam family: Bacterial small subunit ribosomal RNA
Source: RNAcentral